AUUGAACGCUGGCGGCAUGCUUUACACAUGCAAGUCGAACGGUAACAGGUUAAGCUGACGAGUGGCGAACGGGUGAGUAAUGCAUCGGAACGUGCCCGAUCGUGGGGGAUAACGCAGCGAAAGCUGCGCUAAUACCGCAUACGAUCUGAGGAUGAAAGCGGGGGACCGUAAGGCCUCGCGCGAUCGGAGCGGCCGAUGUCAGAUUAGGUAGUUGGUGGGGUAAAGGCUCACCAAGCCAACGAUCUGUAGCUGGUCUGAGAGGACGACCAGCCACACUGGGACUGAGACACGGCCCAGACUCCUACGGGAGGCAGCAGUGGGGAAUUUUGGACAAUGGGCGAAAGCCUGAUCCAGCAAUGCCGCGUGCAGGAAGAAGGCCUUCGGGUUGUAAACUGCUUUUGUACGGAGCGAAAAAGCUCUCUCUAAUACAGGGGGCUCAUGACAGUACCGUAAGAAUAAGCACCGGCUAACUACGUGCCAGCAGCCGCCGUAA
Molecule: ribosomal RNA, 493 nt
Filed under: uncultured bacterium
Lineage: Bacteria
Description: partial 16S ribosomal RNA
Rfam family: Bacterial small subunit ribosomal RNA
Source: RNAcentral